Molecule: ribosomal RNA, 868 nt
Filed under: uncultured Gammaproteobacteria bacterium
Lineage: Bacteria; Pseudomonadati; Pseudomonadota; Gammaproteobacteria
Description: bacterial SSU rRNA
Rfam family: Bacterial small subunit ribosomal RNA
Source: RNAcentral
ACGCUGGCGGUAUGCUUAACACAUGCAAGUCGAACGGAAACGAUACUAGCUUGCUAGUAGGCGUCGAGUGGCGGACGGGUGAGUAACGCGUAGGAAUCUGCCUGAUAGUGGGGGAUAGCCCGAAGAAAUUCGGAUUAAUACCGCAUAAUCUAUUCGUAGUAAAGUGGGGGACUUUCGAGCCUCACGCUAUCAGAUGAGCCUGCGUAAGAUUAGCUUGUUGGUAGGGUAAAAGCCUACCAAGGCGACGAUCUUUAGCUGGUCUGAGAGGAUGAUCAGCCACAUCGGGACUGAGACACGGCCCGAACUCCUACGGGAGGCAGCAGUGGGGAAUAUUGGACAAUGGGGGCAACCCUGAUCCAGCAAUACCGCGUGUGUGAAGAAGGCCUGAGGGUUGUAAAGCACUUUCAAUUGUGAAGAAAAGUUAACGGUUAAUAACCGUUAGCCUUGACGUUAACUUUAGAAGAAGCACCGGCUAACUCCGUGCCAGCAGCCGCGGUAAUACGGAGGGUGCAAGCGUUAAUCGGAAUUACUGGGCGUAAAGCGUGCGUAGGCGGUUUAUUAAGUCAGAUGUGAAAGCCCCGGGCUUAACCUGGGAACUGCAUUUGAAACUGGUCAACUAGAGUAUGGUAGAGGAAAGUGGAAUUUCUGGUGUAGCGGUGAAAUGCGUAGAUAUCAGAAGGAACAUCAAUGGCGAAGGCAGCUUUCUGGACCAAUACUGACGCUGAGGUACGAAAGCGUGGGUAGCAAACAGGAUUAGAUACCCUGGUAGUCCACGCCGUAAACGAUGAUAACUAGCCGUUGGGGGGAUUUACCCUUUAGUGGCGAAGCUAACGCGUUAAGUUAUCCGCCUGGGGAGUACGGCCGCAAG